RNAcentral lists this long non-coding RNA (642 nucleotides) under Linum usitatissimum (flax). RNAcentral describes it as "long non-coding RNA (LUSI_LNC006835)". The record is from RNAcentral. Lineage: Eukaryota; Viridiplantae; Streptophyta; Magnoliopsida; Malpighiales; Linaceae.
UUGUAAUUGAAGAUGAUACUCUUGAGACAGAAAAUAUUGGAGGGGGAGUUACGAAUGCCGAUCGAGAAGUGAUAGUUGAAGAUAUUGAAGAAGAGGGUGAUGAUUUGAGUGAUCUAGAGGUUCCUAUUGCUCUAAGGAAAGGUAUAAGAAAUUGCACAAAAUAUCCGAUUGCUCGACAAAUCAGCUAUGAUGGUCUUAGCAAUUCUCACAGAGCAUUUAUAUCUGCUCUUGACGAGGAACAAAUACCUAAGAAUAUUGAAGAAGCUAUGAAACAUCCAAAAUGGAGAAGUGCUCGAAGAAGCUAUGAAACAACCAAAAUGGAGAAGUGCUGUCAUGGAGGAAUUACGAGCUUUGGAGAAAAAUAAAUACAUGGGACAUUGUCUCACUUCCGAAUGGAAAGAACACAGUUGAUUGUAAGUGGAUCUUCACCAUUAAAUAUAGAGCAGACGGGUCGAUUGAAAGAUAUAAAGCUAGGCUGGUGGCUAGAGGUUUCACCCAAGCAUACGGCGUGGAUUAUGAUGAAACCUUUGCACCAGUGGCAAAGCUCAACAGUAUAAGGGUGUUGUUUUCUCUUUGUCCCUGAAAUCAGCCCUGUAUUGGCCGUUACAUCAACUUUAUGUGAAGAAUGCUUUUCUUAACGGA